This 223-nucleotide unclassified non-coding RNA is filed under the name plant metagenome. RNAcentral describes it as "partial contains small subunit ribosomal RNA, internal transcribed spacer 1, and 5.8S ribosomal RNA". The record is from RNAcentral.
UUUCCGUAGGUGAACCUGCGGAAGGAUCAUUACAGUGUUCUCUGCCCUCACGGGUAGAAACGCCCACCCUUGUAUAUUAUAUCUUUGUUGCUUUGGCAGGCCGCCCUCGGGCACCGGCUCCGGCUGGAUCGCGCCUGCCAGAGGAAACCCAAACCCUGAAUGUUAGUGUCGUCUGAGUACUAUCUAAUAGUUAAAACUUUCAACAACGGAUCUCUUGGUUCUG